Molecule: long non-coding RNA, 1265 nt
Filed under: Canis lupus familiaris (dog)
Lineage: Eukaryota; Metazoa; Chordata; Mammalia; Carnivora; Canidae
Description: lncRNA (ENSCAFG00040002133.1)
Source: RNAcentral
AGGGGGAAGGGGUACAGAUCAACCCUACGGGCCCUGCAAUGGAUUCCCCACACAGGUGUCGUACACAUCCGAGGUACGGACACCAUCAGUUCAGCGGUUCACAUUUUUUUUUUGAUAUUUAAGUAAAAGGUGCUCUGUGGGCCCAAAUGGCUAUUUACUCAGGGUACAGCUUCUCUUCUUGUGUCUGAAGCUUGUCAACGAGGCUGCGCAUUUAUCCAUCCUCUCGUGAUCCUACACAAACAGGGAACAAAACCACGAAGGAAAAGCAGUCUAGAUAUCAUCUGUAUUUACACAUGGUUUUUCCUUGGGCGUAAUUGGACAAGAGAACAGUUUAUAAUCUGCGUGGCAUCACUAUUCCUGGUCUUGUUGUUCGUUGCUAUGACCCAUCAACGAAAAUGUGGAUGGUUGUAAAAUUCUCAGGUACCUGUUUUUUACUGCAAAAAUGAGGCACAUCGUCCUUUAAAAACUAGGGCUGGACACGAUUAUGAGGCUACUGUGAUCUUCUUUUCUUUUUAAGAUUUCAUUUAUUUAUUUGAGAGCGAGUGCACAUGAGCAGGAGCAGAGGGAGAUGGAGAAGCAGGGUCCCCGCUGAGCCUGAUGCGGGACUCCAUCCCAGGACCCGGGGCUCAUGACCUGAGCCGAAGGCCAAUGCUUCACCGACAGAGCCGCCCAGGCACCCACUACUAUGACCUUUAUUUAUACUUUGGAACCUUUUAAGUCAAUAUGCCUGUCCAUUAUUUUAUUUAGUUUCUAUAAUUAAAUGUUGCUGUAUUUUUCUGUCAUUAUUAUAUUUAAAUCAUAACAGCAUACGGUAGCCUUUUUUUUUUUUUUUUUUAACUUUUUUGCUGUGCUGCUGUGUUCUUGGUCUUGGCUUCUGUUCCAGUCUUUGGACAUUUUUCCUCGGGUUCAGUGAAGAAACAUUCAACUUAGACCGUCCGUCUCCACCUCCCAUUUUUAUUACCUUAGAAGGGCACCUGCUCCUCUCUGUGCUUUCUCUCUGCUCGCGUGGUUUGCUCCAUGUCCCUCAGGUGACUGUGUGCCGCUCGACCUGACAGUCUAACGGGGUUCGAGGUGAGUUGUGGCUACCCCACCUGCCGGGUGCGUCCUUCCCUGGCCUGGCUGCGCGGUCCCUGUCCCAGCCUCUCCCCCGGCCUCGGUCCCACUACGCCCUCCCUUGCACCUCUCGCCUUCUUGCUACCUGUCCCCUGGCUCCGUUGGGAAUUCACCCUCGGUGGCGUCAUGCUCUCACCAAUUUUUACAAUUCU